This 463-nucleotide ribosomal RNA is filed under the name uncultured bacterium. Its description in RNAcentral is "bacterial SSU rRNA". It matches the Rfam family "Bacterial small subunit ribosomal RNA", at positions 29 to 507 of the family's 1533-position model. The record is from RNAcentral.
AAUGAACGUUGGCGGCGUGGAUUAGGCAUGCAAGUCGAGCGCUCAUAGCAAUAUGGGAGCGGCGAACGGCGUAGUAAGACGUAGGAACGUACCCUCGGGUCGGGGAUAGCUAUGGGAAACUGUAGGUAAUACCCGAUAAUCUCUGCGGAGCAAAGGUGUGAUUCCGCCUGAGGAGCGGCUUACGCGAUAUUAGCUAGUUGGUGGGGUAAUGGCCUACCAAGGCGAUGAUGUCUAGGGGGGUGUGAGAGCAUGGGCCCCCCACGACCGGAACUGAGAUACUGUCCGGACACCUACGGGUGGCUGCAGUCGAGAAUCUUCCGCAAUGGACGAAAGUCUGACGGAGCGACGCCGCGUGCGGGAUGAAGGCCCUUGGGUUGUAAACCGCUGUCAGAGGGGAUGAAAUCUUCGGAGGUACUCCUCCGAAGUUGACAGAGCCUCAAAGGAAGCACGGGCUAAGUACGUG